This 484-nucleotide ribosomal RNA is filed under the name uncultured bacterium. RNAcentral's name for it is "bacterial SSU rRNA". It matches the Rfam family "Bacterial small subunit ribosomal RNA", at positions 28 to 524 of the family's 1533-position model. The record is from RNAcentral.
GACGAACGCUGGCGGCGUGCCUAACACAUGCAAGUCGAACGGGAUCCAUGAGAGCUUGCUCUCGGAAGAUCUAGUGGCGAACGGGUGAGUAACACGUGAGAAACCUGCCCUGGAGUGGGGAAUAACUCGGGGAAACCCGAGCUAAUACCGCAUACCCUUGGAUGAUCGCAUGGUCGACCAAGGAAAGAUUUAGCGCUCUAGGAGGGUCUCGCGGCCUAUCAGCUAGUUGGUGGGGUAAUGGCCUACCAAGGCAACGACGGGUAGCUGGUUUGAGAGAACGAUCAGCCACACUGGGACUGAGACACGGCCCAGACUCCUACGGGAGGCAGCAGUGGGGAAUCUUGCGCAAUGGGCGAAAGCCUGACGCAGCAACGCCGCGUGCGGGAUGACGGCCUUCGUGGUUGUAAACCGCUUUCAGCAGGGACGAAAAUGACGGUACCGCAGAAGAAGCCCCGGCUAACUACGUGCCAGCAGCCGCGGUAAU